This 253-nucleotide ribosomal RNA is filed under the name uncultured bacterium. RNAcentral describes it as "partial 16S ribosomal RNA". It matches the Rfam family "Bacterial small subunit ribosomal RNA", at positions 524 to 776 of the family's 1533-position model. The record is from RNAcentral.
UACGGAGGGUGCAAGCAUUGAUCGGAAUUACUGGGCGUAAAGGGCGCGUAGGCGGCCAUGUAAGUCAGAUGUGAAAUUCCGGGGCUCAACCCCGGAGCUGCAUUUGAAACUACAUGGCUAGAGGACAGUUAGGGAAAACGGAAUUCCACGUGUAGCGGUGAAAUGCGUAGAUAUGUGGAAGAACACCGGUGGUGAAGACGGUUUUCUGGGCUGUAACUGACGCUGAGGCGCGAGAGCUAGGGGAGCAAACAGG